Molecule: long non-coding RNA, 1087 nt
Filed under: Salmo salar (Atlantic salmon)
Lineage: Eukaryota; Metazoa; Chordata; Actinopteri; Salmoniformes; Salmonidae
Description: lncRNA (ENSSSAG00000097698.1)
Source: RNAcentral
AGCGUACUGUAAGUCGGGUUAAUAACACUUGUGGAUAUUUUGUCUCCGAUUACCAGCGACAUAAGGACAAAAUCAGCGGACAACAGGCCUCAGUUGCAGCCAGGAUGUCAGAACGUCUUCCACAGGACUGUUGUACGUAGUCCCUACUAAUGAUGUAAAAGAUACUGUCUCGAAUCCUUGUCCUUGGUCUCAUCAGCCAUGCCAUCACCAUCAUGAAGGUCAGGUAGAGUUUCAAGCCACACAAGACGGUCACGCAGAGCUGGGGACAUGCGGAGCUGGGGACACGCGGAGCUGGGGACACGCGGAGCUGGGGACACGCGGAUCUGGGGACACGCGGAGCAAGGGACUCGCAGAGCUAAGGACACGGGAGAUUAAGAUGAACAAAAAAAUACUGAUGGAAGGAAAUACAAUGAUUUUGAUAGUAAUGAAUUGUACUUAAAUAUUUGAAUGAAGCUGCAUAGUGAUAACCAGACAGUUAGAACAUGUCAGGAUGUUCCCCUGCCAUGGAGCAGCACAACUACAACCUCUACACACCUCCCAGAGUUUUCAGCAGCCAGGUUGAGCCAUUCUGGAUGUGUGUAGGGUGGUAGGUUCUGAUCAGGUUGCUAAGGUACUUUAGAUCAGAGCCCUGGGUUUUCGUGGACAAGUUGACUUAACUGUGGGGAUGGAUUUGCAGGCAAUACGAGAGCAGAUCGGAUCAGUCAGUGGAGGGGAAAAUGGAGUGAUGUGAUCAUGAGAAGAGGUGUGAGUAAGCAUCCCAGUUUGGGACUUUCUGAAGCAUGUUAAAGUACUUAGCAGAAACCCACUGCUGUAUAUAACAUGAAGGACAUUGCAAUAGACUAGUCUUAAAGUGGAACUGACAGCCUUUUAGCAACAUGAAAUCUUGACACUGCAGUAAAUAAAACCUAAUAAAUACGUGUCAGUCUUGUCCAGGAACAGAGUCUACGCAGACCAGUGUGCUAUAGACAAUCAGAGCUACAGUAGGCCUAUAUGCAAAUAAGCCAUUUGCCACACAGGCCUGCCAUCAUAAACUUUGAACUGGACUGUUUGUUUACAGGCUGUAGCAACAGUGCGACUUUAGACCAUU